RNAcentral lists this ribosomal RNA (531 nucleotides) under uncultured bacterium. Its description in RNAcentral is "bacterial SSU rRNA". It matches the Rfam family "Bacterial small subunit ribosomal RNA", at positions 28 to 521 of the family's 1533-position model. The record is from RNAcentral.
GACGAACGCUGGCGGCGUGCCUAACACAUGCAAGUCGAACGGUCCGGCACUCAACCGACCCUCAGUCUAACUGUAGGGGAAGUUGAGUGCCGGGUAGUGGCGGACGGGUGAGUAACGCGUGGGCAACCAACCCUGUACAGUGGGAUAACACCGGGAAACCGGUGCUAAUACCGCAUGACACCUAUAUGGUGCAUACCGUAUAGGUUAAAGGAUUUAACCGGUACAGGACGGGCCCGCGUCCCAUUAGCUAGUUGGUGAGGUAACGGCCCACCAAGGCGACGAUGGGUAGCCGACCUGAGAGGGUGACCGGCCACACUGGGACUGAGACACGGCCCAGACUCCUACGGGAGGCAGCAGUGGGGAAUAUUGCGCAAUGGGGGGAACCCUGACGCAGCGACGCCGCGUGAGCGACGAAGGCCUUCGGGUCGUAAAGCUCUUUCGGCCGGGAAAAAUACGCAUCAGUUAAUACCUGGUGUGGAUGAUGGUACCGGAAUAAGAAGCACCGGCUAACUACGUGCCAGCAGCCGCGGU